CACACACAGACACACACUGACGGCUGAGUCUUCCUGAACGCCUGAGCCAUACGCGCGUUUGUUCCGUGGCGCACUGUCCGAGUCCGACCGACCGAACUCUGGCGCUCCGUUGCAACCGGAAUGUUGUCCCGCGCUCGUCUACUUCUCUAACACGAGCGAGCGCGGCACUUUUAGCCCGAGGGAGAAGACGGAGGUGAUCAUGAGUUGUUUGGAUGUUAUGUACCCAGCCUAUGGACAUUACCAACCGUACGCGCCAGCCUCCGCUUUCAUCAGCACUUUGCCGGCUCCAGUCGGUGUGAGAAGCCCCUCUCCUCGCUUGCGGGAGUUCAUGGAGAGUGUGGGCGCGCCGCGCUGCACGGACAGCACCUCUGUGGCGGCAUCUGCCUCAGCAGCCUCCAUAGCUGCAUCGUCCUCGUCCUCCUCCUCCACAUCGACCGGAGGCCCCCCUGUGCCACCCUCUUCUUCCUCCUCAUCCGCCUCUGCCUCCUCCUCUUCCUCCUACGCGGCGACGGCGGGAGCGGUGACGGGGGGGUCGCCGCCCGACGGGGAUGCCCCCAAGGAGAAGCAGGAGGUGGGGGAGGCGGAGUACCUGAGCUCCAGGUGUGUCCUCUUCACCUACUACCAGGGGGACAUCAGCAGCGUGGUGGACGAGCACUUCUCACGCGCCCUCAGCACCUACAUGGAGGGUGAGAGCAAGAGGAGGCCCACGGACGCAGGAACAGUCUCCCCCAUCAGUCGGCGCAGCUUCCCGCCCUCCUUCUGGGACAGCAACUACCCAUCGCCCCCCAGCCGCGGCCACUGUGACCCGGGCGCCACCCCUUACUCCAUGGACCCUUACGCCCACAGCGCCCUGCACCCUGGCCUCCCUCACCCGCACGCGCACGCCCACCCGCACCCCCACUCGCACCCGCACACGCACCCCUCCGAGUCCUGGGGCAGCUACACACAGGGCCAGGCCUACGCUGCCCCAAGGCCUCUCCAUGAACUAUACACUACGGCCCCGGGCCUGGAGCCUCAUUAUGGUCCCCUGCUGAUGCCCGCGGUCAGGCCCCCACACCUCGGGCCCCUGCCCGGCCACUACGAGGUGGGCAAGCUGGAGCACGCGCCCGGGUGGCCGGGGCUGCUGCCCACCGCGGGGGACAUGGCACAGACGCUGGCUCUCAACAUAGACCCAGUACGGCCCUUGGAGGACUUUUACGGCCCUUGGAGGAAUUUGAAGUGGCCCUUCCAAUGAAAAAGGUUCCCCUACCCUGCGAGUUCUUCACAGUGAUGUACAUAUCUCCCAAGUUACAAUACAUGCCUCCAGCACCAGAAAAAAGCGAAGGAGCUCUACUGGUUUUAACGACCGGUCCUCCGCUCCGCUCCGCCCGCUGCAUCGACCCGCUAUUCGCUCGAUCCAAUUAGGCCCCUGGAGUCGGUCCCGCUGAAGAGCCAGCCGUGUCCUUUUAUUCAAGCCAAGCUCUCGCCACCCCCUCUCCAACCCCCCACCCC
RNA transcript from Engraulis encrasicolus (European anchovy), 1491 nucleotides. It is a transcript of the gene named vestigial-like family member 2b, with no coding region annotated. The transcript is spliced from 5 exons. The record is from RefSeq and is a predicted model, not a curated record. Lineage: Eukaryota; Metazoa; Chordata; Actinopteri; Clupeiformes; Engraulidae.